This 1407-nucleotide ribosomal RNA is filed under the name metagenome. RNAcentral's name for it is "bacterial SSU rRNA". It matches the Rfam family "Bacterial small subunit ribosomal RNA". The record is from RNAcentral.
CACGUGGGUAAUCUACCGAAGAGUUCGGAAUAACCGGUCGAAAGGCUGGCUAAUACUGGAUAGUUCAAGCGCAUUAUAAUGGUGCGAUUGGGAAAGGGAGCGGGCAACCGCCUUCGCUUUUUGAUGAGCCCGCGUCUGAUUAGCUAGUUGGUGAGGUAAUGGCUCACCAAGGCAGAGAUCAGUAGCUGGUCUGAGAGGAUGAUCAGCCACACUGGAACUGAAACACGGUCCAGACUCCUACGGGAGGCAGCAGUGGGGAAUCUUGCGCAAUGGACGAAAGUCUGACGCAGCCACGCCGCGUGAGUGAAGAAGGCCUUCGGGUUGUAAAGCUCUGUCGGAGGGGACAAAAACUCCAUAGGUGAAUAGCCUGUGGACUUGAUGGUACCCUUAAAGGAAGCACCGGCUAACUUCGUGCCAGCAGCCGCGGUAAUACGAAGGGUGCAAGCGUUGCUCGGAAUUAUUGGGCGUAAAGGGUAGGUAGGUGGUGAUGUAUGUCUGAAGUGAAAUCCCUGAGCUUAACUCAGGACGUGCUUUGGAAACGGCAUCACUAGAGUACUGGAGAGGUUCGCAGAAUUCCCGGUGUAGCGGUGAAAUGCGUAGAGAUCGGGAGGAAUACCAGAGGCGAAGGCGGCGAACUGGACAGUAACUGACACUCAACUACGAAAGCGUGGGUAGCAAACAGGAUUAGAUACCCUGGUAGUCCACGCUGUAAACGAUGGGUACUAGAGAUGGCGGGAGUUGACCCCUGCCGUCUCGGAGCUAACGCAAUAAGUACCCCGCCUGGGAAGUACUGUCGCAAGACUAAAACUCAAAGGAAUUGACGGGAGCCCGCACAAGCGGUGGAUUAUGUGGUUUAAUUCGAAACCACGCGCAGAACCUUACCUGGGUUUGACAUCCUUUGAUAACUGCAGAGAUGCAGCUUUCGUAGCAAUACGACAAAGUGACAGGUGCUGCAUGGCUGUCGUCAGCUCGUGUGGUGGCAUGUCGGGUUAAGUCCCUCAACGAGCGCAACCCCUGUCUUUAGUUGCCAGCAUUAAGUUGGGCACUCUAGAGAGACUGCCGUGGUUAACACGGAGGAAGGCGGGGAUGACGUCAAGUCCUCAUGGCCCUUACACCCAGGGCGACACACGUAAUACAAUGGCUGGUACAGAGGGAAGCGAACUCGCGAGAGGGAGCAAAUCUCAAAAAGCCAGCCUCAGUUCGGAUUGGAGUCUGCAACUCGACUCCAUGAAGGCGGAAUCGCUAGUAAUCGCGGAUCAGCACGCCGCGGUGAAUACGUUCCCGGGCUUUGUACACACCGCCCGUCACACCAUGGGAGCUGACUCAACCAGAAAACAGUCAGGGUAACCGUAAGGGGCCCUCUGUUGAAGGUGGGGUUGGUGACUGGGGUGAAGUCGAAACAAGGUA